RNAcentral lists this ribosomal RNA (305 nucleotides) under uncultured bacterium. RNAcentral describes it as "bacterial SSU rRNA". It matches the Rfam family "Bacterial small subunit ribosomal RNA", at positions 333 to 640 of the family's 1533-position model. The record is from RNAcentral.
AGAGUCCUACGGGAGGCAGCAGUGGGGAAUAUUGCACAAUGGGGGAAACCCUGAUGCAGCGACGCCGCGUGAGUGAAGAAGUAUCUCGGUACGUAAAGCUCUAUCAGCAGGGAAGAAAAAAAGUCUUUGGCUUUGGACGGUACCUGACUAAGAAGCCCCGGCUAACUACGUGCCAGCAGCCGCGGUAAUACGUAGGGGGCAAGCGUUAUCCGGAUUUAUUGGGUGUAAAGGGUGCGUAGACGGGAAGGCAAGUUGGUUGUGAAAUCCCUCGGCUUAACUGAGGAACUGCAACCAAAACUAUCUUU